GCAGGGCACUGGUCAGCACGUGGCACAUCCCUCGGGGAUUCUGCAGCAUGCUCACACACGUGGAUCAAACACCGAUGUGAGCACAGUGUCACACCUUGGCAGACAAAAUGAAUGCAACCUCCUCUCCUGGGAGCACCCAGGAGGGGAAAAAACCUGCUGAAACAGCAGUUGUGCUUUGGUGGGAAGUAACUCGGGAUUCCUGCCAGACUGAUCCUCCCUGUGUGUUUGUGGCUGAACUCUACACACACCUGCAAGCGACUGUAAUGAAUCUGAAAGCCUUCCUGAAUCCGUGCUUUGUCAACGCCAGUGCACAUCCACAGUCAAGGCAGAGCUGAGAGCUCCUGGCCCCAGCAAUUGUCCAGGGGCAGCACAAAGCCCUGCCGAGUGGAGAAGUGGCCAGUAUCUGCAUUGCACAGCACCUCCCUCCCUUAUCUGCUGGCUGCUUGAGGGGGAGCAUGUGAAAAGGAGAGGAGGAAAGGUAAGGUGGCAGUUAAGCCUGGCCUAGAUGCAGGCUUCCAAAGGAAGGAGGAUCCUUGCAGGUUGCAGUACACAAAAUGCUUUCCACAGGGUGGAAAGGGAGAGGCUGCCUGAAGGACCAGUGAAUUCCAGGCUCUAGCAGAGGCAGAGAGGUGUGUGAGGACAGCCAGCCCCAUGCCAGG
Long non-coding RNA from Prinia subflava (tawny-flanked prinia), 659 nucleotides. RefSeq lists it as uncharacterized. The transcript is spliced from 3 exons. The record is from RefSeq and is a predicted model, not a curated record. NCBI's taxonomy places the organism in Eukaryota, Metazoa, Chordata, Aves, Passeriformes, Cisticolidae.